Pelobates cultripes (western spadefoot toad) is the source of this 239-nucleotide non-coding RNA. The record is from the annotation of a GenBank genome assembly. Lineage: Eukaryota; Metazoa; Chordata; Amphibia; Anura; Pelobatidae.
AGGAAAUAAAGCUACUAGUCUGAGAUUAGUACGCAAGAAACGAUCCAACAGUGAUAAUAAGGAAUGCCUCUUUACAAAUGCAUUUUACAGGGCCAGAGAAAAGGUUAUAAGUGCUUUGAAAAAAACUGAUGAUUAUAUUGGCUCACUCUGUCAAUUUCAUGUGCUUUCAGUAAUCCUAGGCAUUUUAGGCACCAUAACCACUGCAGCUCAAUGGCACUUUCAUGGUGCCAGGGAAGCCC